This 286-nucleotide RNase P RNA is filed under the name Lingula anatina. Its description in RNAcentral is "Bacterial RNase P class B". It matches the Rfam family "Bacterial RNase P class B". Rfam says of the family: Ribonuclease P (RNase P) is a ubiquitous endoribonuclease, found in archaea, bacteria and eukarya as well as chloroplasts and mitochondria. Its best characterised activity is the generation of mature 5'-ends of tRNAs by cleaving the 5'-leader elements of precursor-tRNAs. Lineage: Eukaryota; Metazoa; Brachiopoda; Lingulata; Lingulida; Lingulidae. The record is from Rfam by way of RNAcentral.
GAUUUUAUUCAAUUGCUGGUAUUAUUUUUUAAUAUUAGAGGAAAGUCCUUCCUAACACAAUCUGCGAUGAUUGUAGUGUUUGAGUCUUUAGAAACAAAGAACAAUUAUUAUAAAUAAUUGAUGACUAGUGCCACAGAGACGAGUAAUGUGAAACGCGGUAAACUCCUCAAGUUAGCAACCCAAAUUUUGGUAGGGGCAUUAAGAGAUGAUAAAUGAAUCAAAUCUUAAAUCUUUUUUAAAAAAAGAUAGAUAAAUAAUUGAACUAGACAGAAGAAGGCUUACAAAA